UUACGGCCAUAUCACAUUCAAACAUCGGCACUCGUACGAUCACUAAAUUUAAGCAACGUCGAGCCUAGUCAUUACCUAGAUGAGUGACCUCUUGGGAAUAUCAGGUCGUCGUAG
Acanthosepion pharaonis is the source of this 114-nucleotide non-coding RNA. NCBI's taxonomy places the organism in Eukaryota, Metazoa, Mollusca, Cephalopoda, Sepiida, Sepiidae. The record is from the annotation of a GenBank genome assembly.